Molecule: microRNA, 22 nt
Filed under: Oreochromis niloticus (Nile tilapia)
Lineage: Eukaryota; Metazoa; Chordata; Actinopteri; Cichliformes; Cichlidae
Description: oni-miR-10968
Source: miRBase by way of RNAcentral
AGAACAAUGAAAGCAGACGAGG